AACGAACGCUGGCGGCAUGCCUAACACAUGCAAGUCGAACGAGACCUUCGGGUCUAGUGGCGCACGGGUGCGUAACGCGUGGGAACCUGCCCUUAGGUUCGGAAUAACUCCCCGAAAGGGGUGCUAAUACCGGAUAAUGUCUUCGGACCAAAGAUUUAUCGCCUUUGGAUGGGCCCGCGUUGGAUUAGCUAGUUGGUAGGGUAAAAGCCUACCAAGGCGACGAUCCAUAGCUGGUCUGAGAGGAUGAUCAGCCACACUGGGACUGAGACACGGCCCAGACUCCUACGGGAGGCAGCAGUGGGGAAUAGUGGACCAUGGGCGAAAGCCUGAUCCAGCAAUGCCGCGUGAGUGAUGAAGGCCUUAGGGUUGUAAAGCUCUUUUACCCGGGAUGAUAAUGACAGUACCGGGAGAAUAAGCUCCGGCUAACUCCGUG
Molecule: ribosomal RNA, 433 nt
Filed under: uncultured bacterium
Lineage: Bacteria
Description: partial 16S ribosomal RNA
Rfam family: Bacterial small subunit ribosomal RNA
Source: RNAcentral